This 506-nucleotide ribosomal RNA is filed under the name uncultured Glomeraceae. Its description in RNAcentral is "SSU rRNA". It matches the Rfam family "Eukaryotic small subunit ribosomal RNA", at positions 569 to 1081 of the family's 1831-position model. Lineage: Eukaryota; Fungi; Glomeromycota; Glomeromycetes; Glomerales; Glomeraceae. The record is from RNAcentral.
AGCAGCCGCGGUAAUUCCAGCUCCAAUAGCGUAUAUUAAAGUUGUUGCAGUUAAAAAGCUCGUAGUUGAAUUUCGGGGUCAUCAAGUUGGUCGUGCCACUGGUAUGCACUGGCUUUGCUUAUUCCUCCUUCUUGAAGAACUGUAAUGCUAUUAAUUUAGUGUUGCAGGGAAACAGGACUGUUACUUUGAAAAAAUUGAGUGUUUAAAGCAGGCUAACGCUUGAAUACAUUAGCAUGGAAUAAUGAAAUAGGACGUUUGAUCCUAUUUUGUUGGUUUCUAGGAUUGACGUAAUGAUUAAUAGGGAUAGUUGGGGGCAUUAGUAUUCAAUUGUCAGAGGUGAAAUUCUUGGAUUUAUUGAAGACUAACUACUGCGAAAGCAUUUGCCAAGGAUGUUUUCAUUAAUCAAGAACGAAGUUAGGGAUCGAAGACGAUCAGAUACCGUCGUAGUCUUAACCAUAAACUAUGCCGACUAGGGAUCGGAUGAUGUUAAUUUUUUAAUGUACUUC